GACGAACGCUGGCGGCGCGCCUAACACAUGCAAGUCGAACGGAGCUGAGAGAAGCUUGCUUUUCUUAGCUUAGUGGCCAACGGGUGAGUAACGCGUGAGUAACCUGCCCUGGAGUGGGGGACAACAGUUGGAAACGACUGCUAAUACCGCAUAAGCCCACGAUCCGGCAUCGGAUUGAGGGAAAAGGAUUUAUUCGCUUCAGGAUGGACUCGCGUCCAAUUAGCUAGUUGGUGAGGUAACGGCCCACCAAGGCGACGAUUGGUAGCCGGACUGAGAGGUUGAACGGCCACAUUGGGACUGAGACACGGCCCAGACUCCUACGGGAGGCAGCAGUGGGGGAUAUUGCACAAUGGGGGAAACCCUGAUGCAGCGACGCCGCGUGGAGGAAGAAGGUUUUCGGAUUGUAAACUCCUGUCGUUAGGGACGAUAAUGACGGUACCUAACAAGAAAGCACCGGCUAACUACGUG
This 468-nucleotide ribosomal RNA is filed under the name uncultured bacterium. Its description in RNAcentral is "partial 16S ribosomal RNA". It matches the Rfam family "Bacterial small subunit ribosomal RNA", at positions 28 to 507 of the family's 1533-position model. The record is from RNAcentral.